RNAcentral lists this ribosomal RNA (253 nucleotides) under uncultured bacterium. RNAcentral describes it as "partial 16S ribosomal RNA". It matches the Rfam family "Bacterial small subunit ribosomal RNA", at positions 524 to 776 of the family's 1533-position model. The record is from RNAcentral.
UACAGAGGGGGCAAGCGUUGUUCGGAAUUACUGGGCGUAAAGGGUUAGCAGGCGGCUAACUAAGUCAGACGUGAAAUCCCUCAGCUUAACUGGGGAACUGCGUCUGAGACUGAUUGGCUCGAGGACAGGAGAGGAACGCGGAAUUCCAGGUGUAGCGGUGAAAUGCGUAGAUAUCUGGAGGAACACCGGUGGCGAAGGCGGCGUUCUGGACUGUUUCUGACACUGAAUAACGAAAGCCAGGGGAGCAAACGGG